Molecule: ribosomal RNA, 271 nt
Filed under: uncultured bacterium
Lineage: Bacteria
Description: partial 16S ribosomal RNA
Rfam family: Bacterial small subunit ribosomal RNA
Source: RNAcentral
CCCGGCGACCGGCGCACGGGUGAGUAACGCGUAUGCAACCUGCCCGUUUCAGCGGGAUAACCCGGAGAAAUCCGGCCUAAUACCGCAUGUGGCCGAGGGGAGGCAUCUUCUUUCGGCCAAAGGAGGCGACUCCGGAGACGGAUGGGCAUGCGUGACAUUAGCUAGUUGGCGGGGUAACGGCCCACCAAGGCGACGAUGUCUAGGGGUUCUGAGAGGAAGGUCCCCCACACUGGUACUGAGACACGGACCAGACUCCUACGGGAGGCAGCAG